This 375-nucleotide long non-coding RNA is filed under the name Manihot esculenta (cassava). RNAcentral's name for it is "long non-coding RNA (MESC_LNC011319)". The record is from RNAcentral. Lineage: Eukaryota; Viridiplantae; Streptophyta; Magnoliopsida; Malpighiales; Euphorbiaceae.
AGCUGAUGACAGUAGAGCCAUUCAGAUGGCUGGGUUCACACUAAAAUGCAAGAAGGCCCGAGAGUGGUUUAAGAACUAUGUGAACCCGAGGUUGGACAGCCUAUCAUGGGAGGAGUUUGCAAAUGAGUUUGCGGGAUGGGCUUUCCUUGACAGUUCAAGAGAAUUGAAGAUGAUUGAGUUCGAGCAGCUGAGGCAGACGGAUGAGAUGAGUGUGGAUGAGUUCACAGACAGGUUUUUGGAGCUGUUGCCGUUUGCCGGGCAAAAUCUGAAUACAGAUCAGAAAAAGUCAAGGAGGUAUAUCAUGAAGCUCCAUUCCAGGUAUUCCUCCUUGAUUCAGUCAGCAGAGAGGGAGAGUUUCCAUGCCAUAGUGGAUAU